UCACGUCUUACGACGGCAGUUUCACUAGAGUUCCCAGCGUUACCUGAUGGCAACUAGUAAUGAGGGUUGCGCUCGUUUAGGGACUUAACCCGACAUCUCACGACACGAGCUGACGACGGCCAUGCAUCACCUGUCACUAGGUUCCCGAAGGCACUCUCUGGUUUCCCAGAAAUUCCUAGGAUGUCAAGCCUUGGUAAGGUUCUGCGCGUAUCCUCGAAUUAAACCACACGCUCCACCGCUUGUGCGGGUCCCCGUCAAUUCCUUUAAGUUUUAGCCUUGCGGCCGUACUCCCCAGGCGGGAUGCUUAACGCGUUAGCUUCGCAACUCUAGGGGUCGAUACCUAGAACUGCUAGCAUCCAAAGUUUACGGCGUGGACUAC
Molecule: unclassified non-coding RNA, 379 nt
Filed under: uncultured bacterium
Lineage: Bacteria
Description: contains 16S-23S intergenic spacer region
Source: RNAcentral